GAUGAACGCUGGCGGCGUGCCUAAUACAUGCAAGUCGAGCGAACGGACGAGAAGCUUGCUUCUCUGAUGUUAGCGGCGGACGGGUGAGUAACACGUGGAUAACCUACCUAUAAGACUGGGAUAACUUCGGGAAACCGGAGCUAAUACCGGAUAAUAUUUUGAACCGCAUGGUUCAAAAGUGAAAGGCGGUCUUGCUGUCACUUAUAGAUGGAUCCGCGCUGCAUUAGCUAGUUGGUAAGGUAACGGCUUACCAAGGCAACGAUGCAUAGCCGACCUGAGAGGGUGAUCGGCCACACUGGAACUGAGACACGGUCCAGACGCCUACGGGAGGCAGCAGUAGGGAAUCUGCCGCAAUGGGCGAAAACCUGGCGGAGCAACGCCGCGUGAGUGAUGAAGGUCUUCGGAUCGUAAAACUCUGUUAUUAGGGAAGAACAUAUGUGUAAGUAACUGUGCACAUCUUGACGGUACCUAAACAGAAAGCCACGGCUAACUACGUG
Molecule: ribosomal RNA, 497 nt
Filed under: uncultured bacterium
Lineage: Bacteria
Description: partial 16S ribosomal RNA
Rfam family: Bacterial small subunit ribosomal RNA
Source: RNAcentral